CCUACGGGAGGCUGCAGUGGGGGAUAUUGCACAAUGGGGGAAACCCUGAUGCAGCGACGCCGCGUGGGUGAAGAAUCUCCUCGGCGCGUAAAGCCCUGUCAGCAGGGAAGAAAAUGACGGUACCUGAAGAAGACGCCCCGGCUAACUACGUGCCAGCAGCCGCGGUCAUACGUAGGGGGCAAGCGUUAUCCGGAGUUCCUGGGUGUAACGGGGGCGCAGACGGCGAUGCAAGCCAGGAGUGAAAGCCCGGGGCCCAACCCCGGGACUGCUCUUGGAACUGCGGGGCUAGAGUGCAGGAGGGGCAGGCGGAAUUCCUGGUGGAGCGGUGAAAUGCGUAGAUAUCAGGAGGAACACCGGUGGCGAAGGCGGCCUGCUGGACUGCAACUGACGUUGAGGCCCGAAAGCGUGGGGAGCAAACAGGAUUAGAUACCCCAGUAGUC
RNAcentral lists this ribosomal RNA (440 nucleotides) under uncultured bacterium. RNAcentral describes it as "partial 16S ribosomal RNA". It matches the Rfam family "Bacterial small subunit ribosomal RNA", at positions 338 to 795 of the family's 1533-position model. The record is from RNAcentral.